This 475-nucleotide long non-coding RNA is filed under the name Brassica napus (rape). RNAcentral's name for it is "long non-coding RNA (BNAP_LNC010371)". Lineage: Eukaryota; Viridiplantae; Streptophyta; Magnoliopsida; Brassicales; Brassicaceae. The record is from RNAcentral.
CGGAUGAUGGUUCUGAUGACGAGUGAACUUAAAGUUAUAUGUUGUUUGUGGUUUUCAUUAUCUUGUUUAAGUAUGAACUUAUUGUUAAAAAAAAUUAUGAAAUUUUAAUUUGUUGUUUGUGGUUUUCAUUAUCUUGUUUAAGUAUGAACUUAUUGUUAAAAAAAUAUGAAAUUUUAAUUUGUUGUUUGGGGAUUAUAACUUAUGUUGUUUAAGGUUUAGUGUAUAACUUAUGAUGUUUGGGGUUUGGGGUUUCGGUUUUAGGGUAUAAUCAAGUGUCGUCUCUAUUUCUUCGUAAAUGUCAAUGUCGUCGUAGAGACGUAGUAAAUAACGACCAAUUAAAGACGAAACGUAGUUUACUACGAACUUACGACGAAUGCUUUUACGAGAUAUUAUUUGCAUUCGUCGUAAAUUGGUAGUGAUUUUACGACGACUAAGACACGAAUGCCUUAUAUUCGUAUCUAUCUCGUCGUAAAAU